RNAcentral lists this ribosomal RNA (451 nucleotides) under uncultured bacterium. Its description in RNAcentral is "partial 16S ribosomal RNA". It matches the Rfam family "Bacterial small subunit ribosomal RNA", at positions 28 to 507 of the family's 1533-position model. The record is from RNAcentral.
GAUGAACGCUGGCGGCGUGCCUAACACAUGCAAGUCCAGCGGCAGCGAGGGGUGCUUGCACCCUGUCGGCGAGCGGCGGACGGCCGAGUAACGCGUGGGAACGUGCCCCAAAGUGAGGAAUAACUGCCCGAAAGGGUAGCUAAUACCGCAUAUUAUCUUCGGAUCAAAGGAUUUAUCCGCUUUGGGAGCGGCUCGCGUCGGAUUAGGUAGUUGGUGAGGUAAUGGCUCACCAAGCCGACGAUCCGUAGCUGGUCUGAGAGGAUGACCAGCCAGACUAGAACUGAGACACGGUCCAGACUCCUACGGGAGGCAGCAGUGAGGAAUCUUCCACAAUGGGCGAAAGCCUGAUGGAGCAACGCCGCGUGCAGGACGAAGGCCUUCGGGUUGUAAACUGCUUUUAUAAGUGAGGAAUAUGACGGUAACUUAUGAAUAAGGAUCGGCUAACUACGUG